This 366-nucleotide small RNA is filed under the name Histoplasma capsulatum. RNAcentral describes it as "hypothetical RNA". Lineage: Eukaryota; Fungi; Ascomycota; Eurotiomycetes; Onygenales; Ajellomycetaceae. The record is from RNAcentral. RNAcentral also lists the same sequence under 1 other name.
UAGGUUUUCCAGAUUUGGGGGAGAGUUCAUCAUUGAGCCAUGCCAUCUUUUUGUAGGAGUUCCAGUCCCUCUGGAACACCUUUUUCACUUCAGCUUGGCGCUGGGCUUGCAAUGUAGCGCUCUCACCCGAGUGCACUUCAAAUGCAUGUUGGAUUGAGGGCAGUGGAGAUGGCGCUGCAGUUGGCAGCUCAAUAAAAGAAGUGACAGGAUGCUUGAUGCGGAGUUUUCUCCAUUUAAAUCGGUUGUUUUUAGGCGGCUUGUAUGUUGGAGACGGAUCAUAGCAGGAUUGUGUCCAUGGCUCCUCGGCAAGUGGCUCGGUUAUUAUAUUUAAAAAGGUUGCUGGGGACUCUGGCAAACUGAUGUAGU